Molecule: transfer RNA, 88 nt
Filed under: Pseudomonadota bacterium
Lineage: Bacteria; Pseudomonadati; Pseudomonadota
Description: Proteobacteria bacterium (freshwater metagenome) tRNA-Ser
Rfam family: tRNA
About the family: Transfer RNA (tRNA) molecules are approximately 80 nucleotides in length. Their secondary structure includes four short double-helical elements and three loops (D, anti-codon, and T loops).
Source: RNAcentral
GGAGGCGUGGCUGAGUGGUCGAAAGCGGCGGUCUUGAAAACCGUUAGAGCGCAAGUUCUCGUGGGUUCGAAUCCUACCGCCUCCGCCA